Non-coding RNA from Cephalotus follicularis, 128 nucleotides. NCBI's taxonomy places the organism in Eukaryota, Viridiplantae, Streptophyta, Magnoliopsida, Oxalidales, Cephalotaceae. The record is from Rfam.
GGGUGCGAUCAUACCAGCACUAAUGCACCGGAUCCCAUCAAAACUCUGCAGUUAAGCGUGCUUGAGCUAGAAUAAUUCUAAGAGGGGCUUGUCUUAUGGCUUUUAUAGAUUCAGGCUAGUGGCUUGAC